This is a long non-coding RNA of Oncorhynchus mykiss (rainbow trout), 2385 nucleotides long. Lineage: Eukaryota; Metazoa; Chordata; Actinopteri; Salmoniformes; Salmonidae. The record is from Ensembl.
AUGGAUUGCAAUAGACACGCCGCAUUUUGGUCCGACUCUCCUUCUCACCAAGAAAACCGUUACAGAAUCACCCACCACAAAGGGACCAAGCAGCGUGUCAACAGGCAGGAACAGCCCAAAGUGGAGUACAGUAUGGACUAUACUUCUUGGGAGGAGAUAGACAGGUGGGCGGUCGACCCAGGGAGAGUGCCGGAGCCCGCCUGGGAUUCGAUGGAGCAGUGCGCGGAAGGAUAUAGGCGAAUGGAGUUUGCGAAGCAAGCAAGGCGGCGCGGACGGAGGCCCCAUAGUCAGCCCCAAAAAUUUAUUGGGGGGGGGCUCAGGGAGAGUGUGGCAGAGUCAGGAGCCAGACCUGAGCCAACUCUCCCUGUUUAUCGUGAGGAGCCAAGGAGGAGACCAGAACCAGAGCCGGUGUUGGAGGUGAGCGAAACAGAGACUGUGAAGGAGUUAAUGGGGAAAUUGGAGGAGAGAGAAAUGAGGGAGUUGCUGUGUUGGUGUUUUAAACAUGGAAUUCGCCCGACGGAGCGUGUCGGGGAUUUGAUGGCACCUGGGUCAGCGCUCCAUACUCGUCCUGAGGUGCGUGUUAGUCGGCUGGUGAAGAUGGUGCCAGUCUCACGUACCAGGCCUCCUGUGCACCUCCCUAGCCUUGCACGUCCUGUGCCAGCACCGCUCUCAAGAUCUCCAGUACGCCUUCACGGUCUAACCCAUCCUGUGCCACCUCCACACCCCAGCCCUCCGGUAGCAGCUCCCCGCACCAGGCUUCCUGUGCGUGUCCUCGGCCCAGUACCACCAGUGCCAGCACCACGCAUCAGGCCUACAGUGUGCCUCGCCUGUCCAGCGCUGUCGGAGCCCUUCUCCUCUCCAGCGCUGUCGGAGUCUCCCGCCUGUUUAGCGCUGUUAGAGCCUUCCUUCUCUACAGCGCUGCCGGAGUCUCCCGCCUGUUCAGAACUGCCAGUUAGCAUAGAGCUGCCAGUUAGCAUAGAGCUGCCAGUUAGCAUAGAGCUGCCAGUUAGCAUAGAGCUGCCAGUUAGCAUAGAGCUGCCAGUCUGCAAGGAGCUGCCAGUCUGCAAGGAGCUGCCAGUCUGCAUGGAGCUGCCAGUCUGCAUGGAGCUGCCAGUCUGCAUGGAGCUGCCAGUCUGCAUGGAGCUGCCAGUCUGCAAGGAGCCGCCAGAGCUGCCUGUCUGCAGGAUGCCGCCAGAGCUGCCAGUCUGCAAGGAGCCGCCAGAGCUGCCAGUCUGCAAGGAGCCGCCAGAGCUGCCAGUUAGCAUGGAGCAGCCAGGGCCGCCAGUCAGCAUGGAGCAGCCAGGGCCGCCAGUCAGCAUGGAGCAGCCAGGGCCGCCAGUCAGCAUGGAGCAGCCAGGGCCGCCAGUCAGCAUGGAGCAGCCAGGGCCGCCAGUCAGCAUGGAGCAGCCAGGGCCGCCAGUCAGCAUGGAGCAGCCAGUCAGCAUGGAGCAGCCAGUCAGCAUGGAGCAGCCAGAGCUGCCAGUCAGCAUGGAGCAGCCAGUCAGCAUGGAGCAGCCAGAGCUACCAGUCAUCAUGGAGCAGCCAGUCAGCAUGGAGCAGCCAGAGCUGCCAGUCGACCAGACUCUUCCAGAGCUGCCAGUCGACCAGACUCUUCCAGAGCUGCCAGUCGACCAGACUCUUCCAGAGCUGCCAGUCGACCAGACUCUUCCAGAUCUGCCAGUCGACCAGACUCUUCCAGAUCUGCCAGUCGACCAGACUCUUCCAGAUCUGCCAGUCGACCAGACUCUUCCAGAUCUGCCAGUCGACCAGACUCUUCCAGAUCUGCCAGUCGACCAGACUCUUCCAGAUCUGCCAGUCGACCAGACUCUUCCAGAUCUGCCAGUCGACCAGACUCUUCCAGAUCUGCCAGUCGACCAGACUCUUCCAGAUCUGCCAGUCAGCCAGGAUCUGCCGAAACCACCAGCCAGCCAGGUAGAUUCAUCAACCUGCCUGAGCUUCCUCUCACUCCCGAGCUUCCUCUCACUCCUGAGCUUCCUCUCACUCCUGAGCUUCCCCUCAGUCCCGAGCUGCCUCAGUCCCGAGCUGCCCCUCAGUCCCGAUCUGCUCCUCAGUCCAGUGGGGUUCUGGGUGAGGACUACUAGGCCAUGGUCGGCGGCGAGGGUGGACUAUCCAGGGACGCGAGGAGAAGGGACUAAGACAUUGAUUGAGUGGGGUCCACGUCCCGCGCCGGAGCCGCCACCAUGGACAGACGCCCACCCGGACCCUCCCUAUUGUUUUGAGGUGCGUUCGGGAGUCCGCACCUUAGGGGGGGGGUUCUGUCACACCCUGGUCAAAGUAUUUUGUGUUUAUCUUUAUUUAUUUGGUCAGGCCAGGGUGUGGCAUGGGUUUUUGUAUGUGGUGUGUAUUUAUGGGGAUUGUAGCUAG